Molecule: long non-coding RNA, 370 nt
Organism: Oreochromis aureus
Lineage: Eukaryota; Metazoa; Chordata; Actinopteri; Cichliformes; Cichlidae
Exons: 3
Source: RefSeq, a predicted model, not a curated record
AGCAUUUAGCAAUUUCCUGCACUUAUUUCCUGCCAUUGAACACAUCACCAAUACAUGACUCCAACCACAUGACUUUGCUCAGCCAAUCGGAUGGCAUGUAGGUCAUAGUAAGCCUGUCCCGGCUUCCUCCCGUCAGAUGCGUGGAGGCAAGCCAGGUGACAGAGCUGUUGCAGACGCUGAUUACUGUGAGCCAGAGCCAUAGUGUUGUUGUGCACUGAACAGAACGGAAUUGGCCAGGUGAACCUUUUUGGGUAUGAAAAGGAUGGCGAGCCAAUGAACGGCUAGGAGCAGGACUCAUUCUGCAUUGGAGCUUCCACUGGUUGGGUAGGAAGCUAUCAAAGACGACGCUCUGUCCCCAUUUUCCAAAUAC